GAUGAACGCUGGCGGCGUGCCUAAUACAUGCAAGUCGAGCGAACGGACGAGGAGCUUGCUUCUCUGACGUUAGCGGCGGACGGGUGAGUAACACGUGGAUAACCUACCUAUAAGACUGGGAUAACUUCGGGAAACCGGAGCUAAUACCGGAUAAUAUUUUGAACCGCAUGGUUCAAUAGUGAAAGACGGUUUUGCUGUCACUUAUAGAUGGAUCCGCGCCGCAUUAGCUAGUUGGUAAGGUAACGGCUUACCAAGGCAACGAUGCGUAGCCGACCUGAGAGGGUGAUCGGCCACACUGGAACUGAGACACGGUCCAGACUCCUACGGGAGGCAGCAGUAGGGAAUCUUCCGCAAUGGGCGAAAGCCUGACGGAGCAACGCCGCGUGAGUGAUGAAGGUCUUCGGAUCGUAAAACUCUGUUAUUAGGGAAGAACAAAUGUGUAAGUAACUGUGCACGUCUUGACGGUACCUAAUCAGAAAGCCACGGCUAACUACGUG
This 497-nucleotide ribosomal RNA is filed under the name uncultured bacterium. RNAcentral's name for it is "partial 16S ribosomal RNA". It matches the Rfam family "Bacterial small subunit ribosomal RNA", at positions 28 to 507 of the family's 1533-position model. The record is from RNAcentral.